UUCUUGUUUUGUUUUCUAUGUCUUUUUCACCAUGAGUUGUGCGUUUUUAGGAUGUAAUCUCCAGCCGGUCUUGCCCUGAGAAUGCAGUCACAGGAGGACCAGCUGUGACUGUUAAGCAGUUCAUCAUCUUCUGAGGUUGGCCUGAGCUGAAGCUUGGGAGGGAGGUCAAAUGAGUCUAUUCCAAAUGGUAAUGUUGCUCCACUUCAGAAGUCAGAGUCUUUAGUUUUGCAUAGCUGAAAGUUGCAACAAGAAGCUUCAGAUCUGAUACAUUUCUCAGCAAGGGUGGUUUUGGUAGUCUUCAAAGGCUGCCUUGAUGAGAAGGGGUCUUCCCAGAGCAAAAGAAUGACUCCAAUUGCCAUCCAAAAAUUGAACCCAGAGAGCAUGCAAGGAUUCAAAGAGUGGAAGAUUAUUUGUUACCAUCUAAAAUUUGUAGGGUGAGUCCACGGUAGACGGCUCUGAGGGUGCCAUUCUGGGUUUCUUUAAUUUCUUAUCACACAAAUUAGUCGCUCUGUCUCCUCUCUUUUUCUGCGGAAGAUGCCUGUUU
Long non-coding RNA from Syzygium oleosum, 544 nucleotides. RefSeq lists it as uncharacterized. Lineage: Eukaryota; Viridiplantae; Streptophyta; Magnoliopsida; Myrtales; Myrtaceae. The record is from RefSeq and is a predicted model, not a curated record. The transcript has 3 exons.